GUUCUGUGAGCAUGUGUUCCUGUGACAUGUGGCACAGCUCACUUCUGUGGUUAUUACAGUGACAAUAGCAACUGGGUGAAUGUUACUGUACGCACAGCUGCUUCCACUAAUUCUAAAACUCCAAACCACAGAGAGAUGUCUCCCAGGGAUUGUGGAAUGAAGAGCAACCAUUCUAGUGGGUAUAAUUGAAAACAGAAUGUCCUUUUGCACUUUAAAAUCAAAAGCUGUGAUAACAGAUCCACCUAAAAAUGACCUGGAAAAUUGAAUGUAUAGAUUCAGAUGCACAUGGCAGGAAAGCAGGAAAAGGACUUACCUGAAGAGACUGAAAUAGAUGAGGGAGGUAGCCUUGGACCCAGGAUGCGUGGUCCUCUCUUCUUGGAAGAAAAGAAUAAUAUAGAGAAGAGGGUGUUCCUUCUUAGCAAAGGGAAGACACAUGUGUUCCACAAAUGAGCCACUUUCCUCUAAACUUCAAUCCUGAUGGCUUGGCCUGAGGAUAACCUAGGUGCAGUGUAAUGUACUGCACAUCCAGGAACAUUGACUUCAGAGAGCAGUAGUUAUUAUUACUGAUGGGAGGCAUUCUUUUUUUUCUUUUUUCUUUUCUUUUCUUUUCUUUUUUUUUUUUUUUUUUUUUUUUUAAGCAGCAAUGACAAUUCACUUCUCCCCUAAUCUAGGUGAAAAAAUAUAUAUAGAAUAUGGUUCGUUUGUUUUAAAAAAAAAAAAAAGAAGAAUGACUCCUUGGGAAAAUGCUUUCUGUUGCUGCAUCCCAGUUCUGGGAAGAGUUUCAGGGGGUUUCUAACAUCUAAGAAGCAGAUCCUUAAGAAGAAAAAAAAUCACUUUUCAACACAAUUUUAUCUCAGAAAAACUCAUAUUCACCUUCCAUUUAUUGGAAUAUUAUCUUCUUAUAAAACAAAAAUAUUUGGACAUCUGAUCCUGAUUAGAUCAACAUCAAAAACCAAUCUAGGAAGAAAAUUGUUAAAGUUUAUUUCUCCCUGCUUUGUAAGAGAUGUCAUUUCUAAUAAAACUAUGGAAUAG
Molecule: long non-coding RNA, 1032 nt
Filed under: Papio anubis (olive baboon)
Lineage: Eukaryota; Metazoa; Chordata; Mammalia; Primates; Cercopithecidae
Description: lncRNA (ENSPANG00000048689.1)
Source: RNAcentral